GACGAACGCUGGCGGCGUGCUUAACACAUGCAAGUCGAACGGAAAGGCCCUGCUUUUGUGGGGUGCUCGAGUGGCGAACGGGUGAGUAACACGUGAGUAACCUGCCCUUGACUUUGGGAUAACUUCAGGAAACUGGGGCCAAUACCGGAUAGGAGCUCCUGCUGCAUGGUGGGGGUUGGAAAGUUUCGGCGGUUGGGGAUGGACUCGCGGCUUAUCAGCUUGUUGGUGGGGUAGUGGCUUACCAAGGCUUUGACGGGUAGCCGGCCUGAGAGGGUGACCGGCCACAUUGGGACUGAGAUACGGCCCAGACUCCUACGGGAGGCAGCAGUGGGGAAUAUUGCACAAUGGGCGGAAGCCUGAUGCAGCAACGCCGCGUGCGGGACGACGGCCUUCGGGUUGUAAACCGCUUUCGCCUGUGACGAAGCGUGAGUGACGGUAAUGGGUAAAGAAGCACCGGCUAACUACGUG
This 468-nucleotide ribosomal RNA is filed under the name uncultured bacterium. RNAcentral describes it as "partial 16S ribosomal RNA". It matches the Rfam family "Bacterial small subunit ribosomal RNA", at positions 28 to 507 of the family's 1533-position model. The record is from RNAcentral.